CAGGCCUAACACAUGCAAGUCGAACGAGACCUUCGGGUCUAGUGGCGCACGGGUGCGUAACGCGUGGGAAUCUGCCCCUUGGUUCGGAAUAACAGUUAGAAAUGACUGCUAAUACCGGAUAACGACGUAAGUCCAAAGAUUUAUCGCCGAGGGAUGAGCCCGCGUAGGAUUAGCUAGUUGGUGUGGUAAAGGCGCACCAAGGCGACGAUCCUUAGCUGGUCUGAGAGGAUGAUCAGCCACACUGGGACUGAGACACGGCCCAGACUCCUACGGGAGGCAGCAGUGGGGAAUAUUGGACAAUGGGCGAAAGCCUGAUCCAGCAAUGCCGCGUGAGUGAUGAAGGCCUUAGGGUUGUAAAGCUCUUUUACCCGGGAUGAUAAUGACAGUACCGGGAGAAUAAGCCCCGGCUAACUCCGUGCCAGCAGCCGCGGUAAU
Molecule: ribosomal RNA, 435 nt
Filed under: uncultured bacterium
Lineage: Bacteria
Description: bacterial SSU rRNA
Rfam family: Bacterial small subunit ribosomal RNA
Source: RNAcentral